Molecule: ribosomal RNA, 382 nt
Filed under: uncultured bacterium
Lineage: Bacteria
Description: bacterial SSU rRNA
Rfam family: Bacterial small subunit ribosomal RNA
Source: RNAcentral
AUUGAACGCUGGCGGCAUGCCUUACACAUGCAAGUCGAACGGCAGCACGGGAGCAAUCCUGGUGGCGAGUGGCGAACGGGUGAGUAAUAUAUCGGAACGUGCCCAGUCGUGGGGGAUAACGUAGCGAAAGCUACGCUAAUACCGCAUACGAUCUAUGGAUGAAAGCGGGGGAUCGCAAGACCUCGCGCGAUUGGAGCGGCCGAUAUCAGAUUAGGUAGUUGGUGGGGUAAAGGCUCACCAAGCCAACGAUCUGUAGCUGGUCUGAGAGGACGACCAGCCACACUGGAACUGAGACACGGUCCAGACUCCUACGGGAGGCAGCAGUGGGGAAUUUUUGGACAAUGGGCGCAAGCCUGAUCCAGCAAUGCCGCCGUGCAGGAUG